RNAcentral lists this long non-coding RNA (1517 nucleotides) under Homo sapiens (human). RNAcentral describes it as "long non-coding RNA NONHSAT178209.1". The record is from RNAcentral. Lineage: Eukaryota; Metazoa; Chordata; Mammalia; Primates; Hominidae.
CUGUGGCCUCCCCGUUUGUUUACAGGGACAUCAGACCAGCUGGACUCAGUUGGCUUUCACCACUGGGAUGGCUUCUGCAACCCUCGACACCAGCCCAGGAGCUGCAGCACAGCUCAUAGUGGGGCUGGCCAGGGACUCUCCUCAACAUCUGAGAACAUUGUUCUCCAAAGAGUAUGGGUUUCUGGAAAACACACUUAUCUGUUUCUUCUGCUGUCCUCCCAUAAAGGCAACUUCCCACCCACAGUUGAAUUCCUUCAGCUCUUCUGAAACUUCUUUAGUCUCUUGGGGCCCAGGAGGUCAGAGGGGUGUAAAAGAUGUCUUGCCUUCUGCCUAAGCUCCCCUAUCCACCUCUGAGUUCAGUGGAGAGCAAGCAAAAGUGUAAGGUCAUGUGAUAUCAACGUCCUCCCCACAUACUCUUCAUUCCCUGGGAGAAUAACUACUGGAGAAAAAAAAAAAUGGUGCCUCUUUCAAGAACCGAGUCAUUGUGACGACCUCUGGGCCACGUGGUCAGGAGCUGUCGAUGGUGUCCGGCCAACAGUUAGCAAGAAAGCAGAGACCCCAGACCCCUUAUAACCACAAACAGCUGAAUUCUACCAUCCACUUAUUGAACUUGAGAGACUACCAUAAGCUACAAAUGAGAUCCGUGGCAUGACUAAUACCUGACUGCACCUUCGGGGGACCCUGAGCAGAGGAUCCAGCUAAGCCAUCCAGACUGCUGGUUGGCAGAAAGGACAUUAGAAGAUAUGGACUAUUAUUAUUCCUGUUUCUCAGAUGAGAAAAACCUAGGUACAAAGAAGCUGAGUUCCUUCCCAUGGUCACACAGCAAAGAAGUGAAGGCCACAUUCAAAUGGAGUUUUAAAUAUCCAUAUCAAUCUGAAGGGCACAAUGCACUUUAUCUUUAAAUAGGCCAUGCUAUCCUGUUCCACAAAACAGAGUUUUGGACUUUAGGCUACAAGAAAGCUGAAAUAUGAGAGGACACAUCUCAUCCCCUAUGAUGGAAGAGGCAGGAGGGAGGACGGAGCGCAGGUGGGAAUGUUGAAAUGGGAAUAUUCCAGAGCUGCUGGAGUUCAGAGGUGCUUGAGGAACUCGGGAACUUGCAUUCCUCACAGUGAAGGAUGGAAGCCCUUUGGCCUUGCCCUCCCGCCCAGCUGAUGGGAUGAGAGGCAGAUGCAGGCAGCUGUCAGGAGAGCAAAGGGAAGGGAGAUACUGGGUCCGGAAACCCUGCUGCUGCUGCGACAAGUUCUCCGGGUCCAGGCUGUGAUUUCCACAAUCUGCAUCCAAACCACAGAGUGAAGCCGAAAUUGUGUGAAUGAUCGGGAGUGUUUGCAGAGUUCAACCACAGUGUUAUCACGUUUUAUCCAAAUCUCCUAGUCCAAAAAAGAAUACCACGCCCUGUUUUUAUCUCAGUGCGGAGUGUUUCAUUUUGAUCAAAAUUGCAGUUGCGUAAUUGACAGAUGAGAGUGAGUGCUUGCAGAUGUGAAGACUGGGGUGAAAUAACACAGCAACAACACCCGCAA